Molecule: ribosomal RNA, 253 nt
Filed under: uncultured bacterium
Lineage: Bacteria
Description: partial 16S ribosomal RNA
Rfam family: Bacterial small subunit ribosomal RNA
Source: RNAcentral
UACGAAGGGGGCUAGCGUUGUUCGGAAUCACUGGGCGUAAAGCGCGCGUAGGCGGCUUUGUAAGUUAGAGGUGAAAGCCCGGAGCUUAACUCCGGAACUGCCUUUAAGACUGCAUCGCUAGAAUCGUGGAGAGGUGAGUGGAAUUCCGAGUGUAGAGGUGAAAUUCGUAGAUAUUCGGAAGAACACCAGUGGCGAAGGCGACUCACUGGACAAGUAUUGACGCUGAGGUGCGAAAGCGUGGGGAGCAAACAGG